Long non-coding RNA from Oryctolagus cuniculus (rabbit), 17471 nucleotides. RefSeq lists it as uncharacterized. NCBI's taxonomy places the organism in Eukaryota, Metazoa, Chordata, Mammalia, Lagomorpha, Leporidae. The record is from RefSeq and is a predicted model, not a curated record.
GACAGGCAGAGUGGACAGUGAGAGAGAGAGACAGAGAGAGAAAGGUCUUCCUUUUGCUGUUGGUUCACCCUCCAAUGGCCGCCGCUGCAGCCGGCACACCGCGCUGAUCCGAUGGCAGGAGCCAGGAGCCAGGUGCUUUUCCUGGUCUCCCAUGGGGUGCAGGGCCCAAGCACCUGGGCCAUCCUCCACUGCACUCCCUGGCCAUAGCAGAGAGCUGGCCUGGAAGAGGGGCAACCGGGACAGAAUCCGGCGCCCCAACCGGGACUAGAACCCGGUGUGCCGGCGCCGCAAGGUGGAGGAUUAGCCUAUUGAGCCACGGCGCCGGCCCUAUAUUAUCAUCUUUUACAAUUUCUUUUCCAUUGAAUUUGAUUAGUCUGGGACCAUCUGAACGUAUUGGGAUUAGUCUAGCCUUCUUGUUAGCUUCUGUAUUUUAUUUUAUUUAUUUAUUUUUUUUUGACAGGCAGAGUGGACAGUGAGAGAGAGAGACAGAGAGAAAAGGUCUUCCUUUGCCAUUGGUUCACCCUCCAAUGGCCGCCGCGGCCGGCGCACUGCGUCGAUCCGGUGGCAGGAGCCAGGAGCCAGGUGCUUUUCCUGGUCUCCCAUGGGAUGCAGGGCCCAAGCACCUGGGCCAUCCUCCACUGCACUCCCGGGCCACAGCAGAGGGCUGGCCUGGAAGAGGGGCAACCGGGACAGAAUCCGGCGCCCCGACUGGGACUAGAACCCGGUGUGCCGGCGCCGCUAGGCGGAAGAUUAGCCUAGUGAGCCGCGGCGCCGGCCCAACUUCUGUAUUCUUUUGAAACAUCUCCAUCCUUCAUCAGAAGCUUUUAAAAUUUUUGACUCUACAAAGCAUUCCAGAUUCACCCUGCACUUGCUCUGCCCUGGCCCUGGGAUCAGCCAUUGCUCCAAGGAUUGCUGCUCUCUUAAUACUGUUUGGAAGUGAAGAUACAGGCUCCACGUGUGCUCCUUGGACUUGGAUGCACUGCUUCCAGGCCUCUCAGUGGUCAAGCUAAGAAGUGACAUAUACGGCUCAAUAGGCUAAUCCCUCCGCCUUUGGCGCCGGCACACCGGGUUCUAGUGUGGAUUCUGGCAUCUCCAAGCUUGACUGAAGCUGUGACUCCUCACUGUUUGCCUUGUCACCUGUGGAUCUGGCAUCUCCAAGCCCAACUGCAACCUGGCGCCUUUUGAUUGGUGCACUCUGCCUGGGUAGCAGCUGAAAUUCCUCCUGCAAGACGGUGCCUCACCUCCUCGUGGGCACUGGAGCUCUGCUUUCCUUUGGCAUAGUUCCUCCGUCCCUGCACUCCCCACUAUGAAACUCCUGGUUCUCCUGGCCCUCCUUGCUCUGUCUACCAUGCCGGUGUCUGCUCAGGAAGAGAGCUCCCUCACUACUGUGAACUACGUUAAAGGAGGCAAGACCCUGGCUUGGAAAUUGAUAUAUUCAUUGCCCACAUCAAGCGCCCUGGGGAGUUUCACCUUGCUGCACUGAAAACUUGGCUACGCUGCUGCCUGCCGUUGGAGUAGCCCAGGUUGAGAGAAAAUCUCUGUCCCGUGAUCCACCACCGCACACCUCAACUCUGUCAAGCACAAGUUCUCCAAACAAAUAGAGCCUCGACCCCUUUACCCUGUGGGGUGCCCACGCCCUAGUGAGAAGAAGCUUCUCUGUCUUGUACGAUACUCACCUCACAUCUGCAGGUGACACGUGAGCAAAAGAAGGAACAGGCCUCCGGGUGCUUUGCUGUCCACAACUCCCACCCCCACCUUCCCUGUAUCUUUUAUUUUAUUUUAUUUUUUAAAAUUUAUUUAUUUGUUUGAGAGGCAGAGUUACAGCAAGAGGGGGACACAUCUGCUGGUUUGCUCCCCAAAAGGCUACAACGACCAGAGCUGCACGGAUCCAAAGCCAGGAGCCAGGAGCUUCUUCUGGGUCUCCCACGUGGAUGCAGGGCCCAAGGACUUGGGCCAUCUUCUACUGCUUUCCCAGGCCAUCAGCAGGGAGCUGGAUCAGAAGUGGAGCAGCCAGGACUUGAACCGGCUGCUCCUAUGGGAUGACACCACUGCAGGCAGAGGCUUAGCCUGGUAUGCCACAGUGCCAGCCCCCUUCCCUUGUAUCUUUUUUUUUUUUGACAGGCAGAGUGGACAGUGAGAGAGAGAGACAGAGAGAAAGGUCUUCCUUUUGCCGUUGGUUCACCCUCCAAUGGCCGCCGCGGCCGGCGCGCUGCGGCCGGCGCACCGCGCUGAUCUGAUGGCAGGAGCCAGGAGCCAGGUGCUUUUCCUGGUCUCCCAUGGGGUGCAGAGCCCAAGCACUUGGGCCAUCCUCCACUGCACUCCCUGGCCACAGCAGAGGGCUGGCCUGGAAGAGGGGCAACCGGGACAGAAUCCGGCGUCCUGACCGGGACUAGAACCUGGUGUGCCGGCGCCGCUAGGCGGAGGAUUAGCCUAGUGAGCCGCGGCGCCGGCCUCCCUUGUAUCUUAUUUAGGAAGCCCAGCUCAAAAGGAAUUCCUUGAAAACACUGCAAAUAAAUGUGCUUUGUUUUAAAGGUUCAAAUCUGUCUGCAAGUUUUCUGAUUAUCCUUUUUUAUUUUUUAAAAAAGAUUUAUUUAUUUGAAAGAGUUACACACAGAGAGGAAGAGACAGAGAGAGAGAGAGAGAGAAAGAGAGAGAGAGGUCUUCCAUCCGCUGGUUCACACCCGAAAUGGCUGCAAUGGCCAAGGCUGGGCCAGGUUGAAGCCAGGAGCCAGGAGCUUCAUCCUGGUCUUCCACAUGGGUGCAGAGGCCCAAGCACUUGGUCUAUCUUAUCUCCUGCUGCUUUCCCAGGCACAUUAGCAGGGAGCUGGAUCAGAAGUGGAGCAACCAGGACUGAACUGGCACCCAUAUGGGAUGCCAGCAUUGCAGGCGGCAGCUUUAGCCCUCGCCAGCCCCUCUAAUUGUCUUUUAACAUCACCCAAAGGACCUUUCUUCUGACAUUACUCAAAACUCACAGAAAUAUUUUCUUAAGCACAGAACCAAGCACCUCUGCACAAACUAUGCAUGAUUUUGGAGAACAGAUCUAUAGCCAGUUAUUUCUGUUAUGAAUUAUUCUGCGAUAAGAAUGAGAUAAUUUAGUUCGGAUGUGUGAGGGGGCCUGGGGAGAAGCAGGAGGGUGCACCCGAAAGGUAAAGUCAAGCUCUGGCCAGUGAUUGGCCCUUCUGGUCCUGUUGGCUCCCCCUGCCCCUGCCUCCCCAACUCUGCGUGCUCUCACCAGCCUUCUCCCGACUGCACAGGGAAACCAGGACUGGCCAGGGGUCCUGGGAGAUCUCAUGGAUGUAUGGGAGGCCAGACCACUGGUAAGUCUCUGGGCAGUGGGAGAAGGAGGGUUUUCUGGAAGAAACACAGGCUGGGGUCGGGAGGCUCGAGUGCAGGGCGGGACGCCUGCAGAUUUCUGCAGACCAAGCAGCUGGGCUACGGGGCAGGAGGCAGGCCCCGGGAGGGGAGGGGGAGCCUUCUGCCGGCUGGGCUGUAGGAAUCCUGGCUGGCUUUUGUGUUUUAAUUCUUUGCUUAUUCUCCUUAAAACAACUCAUGCUGCACAUUCCAGAUCACUUCUGCCCAGCGAAACAAGUUAAACAAACGUGGGAGCCAGGGACAACCUCAGGGGUCUGAAUGCGGUGGCAAGGUGGCGACAUUGUCUGGAGGGACUCCCCCAGCCCCCACCCUGGGGAGGGGUGCGGAUUCUGCACGGCCUGGCUCUGUCCCCUCUCUCCUCCAGGAUGAAACUCUUAGAUUGGAGUUAAGAAAAGCAGAUUGUUCUGACCCCCAGGGCUUGCUUAUUUCUCAGCUUACAGAGAAGGCCGGAGGCGUGGAGAAUAGCAUGAAAGCUGGCGUGUGUUAGCCGCGUCUGGGUGAGCCGUGGGAGCAGCAGAAGCCACCUGUGUGGCAGGAAGGUCUCUGAGCGGGCAUGUCGUGGGUUAGGAUGGGAGCUGCUCCCGGGGUAAUGCGGCCAGCCUGGGCUUGCUGAUACAGUAAGCAGAGCCCCUCACCUCCCAUUCAGCCUCCUCUCCUUUCCAGCUUUGCUGUCGCUACUACGUUAGAAGUUUAGAGGCAGUUCUGAAUGCUGGCUACAUCACGCCCCCUGGAAGUGUCCUGGCCCUCUUUGGUGUGUGAAUCCACUUCCUGGGACCCUGUCUACUGAGGGCAGGAGAAGCCAGGGUUCUUCUGUGGCUCUGCAGAGUCUCCCUGGGAAGUCGGUGCCCCUCUCUUGGCUUCUGUCCCUUCCGGGGUAAAGCGAGUGUCAGUCCAUUCCUCUCGGGCCCUAGUCUUGGUCCCAAGUCUCCCUCCCAGUGCCCCCAGAACUGCCCAAGACUCCAGGGCUGCAGCCCUCCCUUCCGGGUGGACAGCUGACCUCUCCCAGGGGCACCCUGAGGACAUGGCCCAGCCCAACAGUCAUCACCCACCCCUUCCUCCCAGGCCCCUGGAUGCGUCCUUCUGCUUUCCAGAAACGCUGGGCUGAGCACCAGUGUUCCCGGCUUUUCCCAGGGCCCAAGAUCCAUUCUGAAGUCGUGUGGCUGCCUCCCGUGAGAGGGUGGAGGAAAGGCACCUCCCAGCUCUUCUGCUGGGUGCCCCAGGAUCAGGAGCUCCUGACUUAACAGAUCUCGCCCGUCUUGGACAGCAGAAGGCCCCCAGGGACACCCUCGGCCUUUAAGCCGCUCUCUUCCAUGUAGCCCAGCCCAGCGCCUGCCUGUCUCAUUUCCGUGACUCCCACGGGGCCGCGUGCACAGGAGGGCCACUGCUGAGAAAUGUCCUUGGUGCACAUUUGUUGAAUGAACGGAUGGAUGAGAGGAAAAGAAGUCUCUCCUCAGUUUCUCUCUCCCUAUGGAGGAAGGAGUGAGGCCCUCAGCUCUAGUCCCCGGAGCCUCUGCAGCCUUGCUGGCACAUGGAGGUCUCCCUUUCAUGCCUGACGCAUCAGAAGGGCUGGAAACCACCGGACAGGCAGUGGUGAGCUGGGGACAGCAGUACGGGGGCACUGUCGGUGGGUUCUGUAUUUGGCUGAAUCCUGGGAAGCUCCAUUCAACUUCAGGGUAGUCGUUGAAACAGGGGACAGAGAGGCUCAGCGGGCACUGGGUCAGGAACUGUGUUGGAAGGAAGAGGGGGGACUUCCCACCUGCAGUCUCCUGAUAAUAACCAAGAACCAUGCUUCUGAAAUGUGGGGUGCGGGUCCCCCGCUCCUUUGCAGGUGGUUCUAGUGCUCAGUGUGGGGACAGGCUGGACAAUGUGAAGGAGGGAGAUUGUUCAUCUGCUGAUUCACUCCCCAAAUGGCCAUGCCCUGGGGCUGGCCUAGGCCAGGCCAUAGUCUGGAGCCUCCCUCGGGGUCUCCCAUGUGAGUGGCAGGGGUCCAAGCACUUGCAUCAUCUUCCAAAGCUUUCCCAGGUGCAUUAGCAGGGAACUGGAUGGGAAGUAGAGCAGCCGGGACUCGAACAGGCGUCCAUGUGGGAUGCUGUCAUUAUAGGCAAUAGCUUAACCCACUGUACCACAAUGCCAGCUCCAAGCCAAGGGAUCUUGAAAAGCAGGCUGCCAUGUAUUUCUUUAAACAUGACAUGAAAACAACAGAAGCGAGAGUUCCAGGAAAUUAGAAAAACUAAUUUGAACCAUAUUUCCUUCUAAAAGUCGAGGAAUUCCAACUUGAUGUAAAAAUGAGCAAUGGAGAAGCACUGAGGUCUAAUCUCAUAAUUUUUUUUAUAAAAAAGAAAACCAGAGUAACAUUUGCACAGACAAGCAAGGAAAGCAUGCCAAGACAUCUUUUUUUUUUCAAAAUGAGCUAAAAAGCAUUGAGAAAACGAGGUAAAGCAUAAAAGAUCAUCAAUCAAAAUUAUGAACUCAGAAAUAAAGUGACAAGAGUCAGGAAUGGGUGAGCAAUAAAAAAUUAUCACUUCAUAAAUUAGCUCGGAGGAAUGCAAGAAUGAAUUAAUGGAACAGAUAAUGCCUCAGGUUAAUAGAAAAGCAAGAGAAAUGUAAAAAAUAAAAAAUAAAUGAAGUAGGGGCUGGCGCCAUGGCUCACUUGGUGAAUCCUCUGCCUGCGGCACUGGCAUCCCAUAUGGGUGCCAGGUUCUAGUCCCAGUUGCUCCUCUUCCAGUCCAGCUCUCUGCUGUGGCCCAGAAGGGCAGUGGAGGAUGGCCCAAGUGCUUGGGCCCUGCACCCGCAUGGGAGACCAGAAGAAGCACCUGGCUCCUGGCUUCGGAUUGGCGCAGUGCUGGCCCUAGCGGCCAUUUGGGGAGUGAACCAAUGGAAGGAAGACCUUUCUCUGUCUCUCUCUCUCACUUUCUAUAACCCUACCUGUCAAAUAAAAAAUAAAUAAAUAAAUGAAGGGAGAGAUACAGAGCAUCCAAUGGGGAGUUACAGACAUCAACAGGCAAAUAGGAACACACACCUACGAGGGAUCUUCAGAAAGUUCAUUGGAAAGGCAUAUUAUGAAAAAGCUUUCCGCAGAUUUAACAAACAUGUACAUCAAAAUAAACUGACUUUUUUCUUUUUGUAUUCUUUCUUCUUGUUUAUUUUUCUUUAUUUAUUUAGAGAGAGGGAGAGAGAGAGAGAGAGAGAGAGAGUUUCCAUCUGUUGGUUCACUGCCCAAAUGCCCACAACCCCCAGUGCUGGGCCAGGCCGAAGCCAGGAGCCUGGAAUAAAAUGCAGGUCUCCCAUGUGAGUGGCCAGAAUUCACCUGCUGUGUCCCAGGACUGCACUGAUAGGAAGCUGAACUGGAAGUGGACUAGGCACUCCCAUAGAGGGAUAGAGGCAUCCCCAGGGCGGCCUCACCCACCACACCACAAUGCCUGCCCCCUCAUUUUUGCUUUUCAUUUAUUCAUUUUUAAAUUUAUUUCAGAGAGAGAGAAGGAAGGAGAAAGAGGGGGAGAGAAUUCCCACAUGCUGAUUCACUUUCCAAAGGCCUGCAGUGGCCAUGGCUGGGGCCAGACCAAAGCCAGGAGCUGGGCACACAAGCCAGGACUCCCACACAGGUGUCAGGAAUGUGUCAGGAAUCCAACAAUGACUCACCUCCCAGGUGUACAUUAGCAGGGAGCUGGAGUGAGCAGACGGCCAGGUAAAAAAGACUUGCAACUGUAAAUCGAAAGUGUGUGUCCUCUACCUGAGAUUACCAACCCAGAGUGACCAACACUAAGCCACAGCAUGGUGAAAUCGCCUGGCUUAAAGUUAAAAAAAAAAACGAGCAAACCCAAACCCAGCGCCUCAGGGCCUGUGUGCAGUCGCAGUCUGCCACUUAAAGAGGUUGGAUUCUUACCGGACUUUUCGACAGCCGUGCUGUUCGUGCAAGAAGAAAAGUCGAAUAGCACACGUAAGAUUUCGAGGAAAGCCAAGCCUUUCAUAUCCAGCAAAGCUGAAUUUGGAAGGUAAAGGACCUACACUGUGGACCUGUGUGUCUUUCCUCAAGAAUCUGCUUGAGAGGGAGAUUCAGACAGAAUGACCAGAGAGCCGCUACUCUAAGGCAUGGUAGUGAACACUGAAAAUAUACUUACAGGGCCCGGCACUGUGGCAUAGUGGGCUAAGCCUCCACCUGUGGUGCCAGCAGCCCAUGUGGGCACCGGUUUGAAUCCUGGCCGCUCCACUUCUGAUCCAGCUCCCUGCUAUGGCCUGAGAAAGCAGUAGAAAAUGGCCCACAUGCUUGGUUAGGCCCCUGCACCCACGUGGGAGACCUGGAAGAAGCUCUUGGCUCCUGGCAAUGCCUUCCCGCCUUUCUUCCACAAACAGUGUGAAGUCGUUGUGUUUCCCCUACUUACUCACCGGACAUGUUUUGAUACUGGGGAGUCAGAGGGGGGACAAAAAAAAGGUGUUAUUUUCCGGAUCCCAAGACUCGUAGUCUAGAGGUGGAGGUGGAUGGGGCAGGCUGCUUCAGAGAUGGGUGGUGAGUGGAUGGAGCCUGAAUAGUGUGCAGGCUUGAACCCCAGCUCUAUUGCCCACCCGCUGCACAAACUCCGGAACGCGAUUGAGUAUUUCCGCAGCCACGGAGACAGUGUAAACCAUAACGGCGCCACUUCCAUGUGCAGGCGCCGAGGUCACAGGCAAGGGAGAUGUAUCACCCGGCACAUGGUAGGUGUUUAACAAAUGCUGCAUGGUGUACGCCCAGGUAGGGGCCUCCAGGCGCAUUCCUCUCGGGGAGCUCAGGGAGCGUGCCUGAGGCGAGUUAUAUUUGGCUGAAGUUUUUUUGGUGUGUGUGUGUGUGUGUGUGUGUAGUCCACUCGUGUCACCAGCAUCUCAUCCCUUCAUCUAAGAUGCCCGUCUCAUGGGUGUUGUGACACCUUGCGAGAAUACACGUACUCUCCGCGGAGGGUAGCCACUCAGGAUCCGGAAGCUCUUUCAUGUCUCUAUCCCCGCCUCCUUCUUCUUUCCGGGAGAGACUUCCGGAUUUCCUGGUGGCGACUGUAGAUCCAGAGUGGGUGGAGCUCUCUUGGGGACAGAACCUUUCGUCCUCUGUGGCUUCAGGUAGGGAUAGAUUGGGAACAAUGGUCUAGGAACCAUGAGGCCUCUGACCACUGGAGAAGAAAACUCUGCAACUUCUGUGUCUUUGCACACAUCUAUGAUUAGUUUGACUUCUCUUUGUUCAUUCAGUAAAGUCUGUGAAAGAAUGGGUUUUGGCUACCACAGAGAAGGGGACAGUUGGCAUAUUGUCUCCCUUAAAUAGCAGGGCAGGUGACGGGGGCCCGAGGGAGUAGGGCAAAUAACUGGGUCCCCUUAGUCCCAGGGAGCCUGCGGAGAGCAGCAAGUGCGGCCCGAGCAAUUGCCUGGAUCUGGAGUGACAUCCUGAACUUGAAGCUCUGGCCAAGUGGGCUGUCUUAGGAGACCCCUGGUCCCAGGGACCCGAUGACUUGAAAGAAAUGCCUCUGUGCCUGCCCACUCCCUGUAGCUGCACCUCCUCCUCAGGACCCCUCCCACUCCUGCCUCCAAGGUCCCUGGUUGGCUAUGGUGCUGUUGUGGUUUCACUGCCCGUGGAGGUAUUUCUGUUUCAAUGAAUGUUCUUCUAGCUCCUGCCAGGCUGUUCGAAGAUUAAUUCACAGUCUUAAUGUUUGGUCUGUUCUCUUCCCUUUGACCUCACGGCUUGUCAUUCUGUUUUUAUGGGCUUUUGAAAAGUAAAAAUAGCUGUCCCUAUUUCCUAUCAUCCAAACAGGAGACACGCUCUUUGUCUCCUCUGAAAGGGCCUUGUAAAUCCCAGGGACUCCCUUUCUGUCUGGGGUCAGUGUUCUGUGGAGCACUUGACCUUCCCCAGGGGACCUCCUUGUCUUUGAUGUGAGGGGAAACCUCAGUUCUGCAGCUUAGCCAGGAAGGAAAAACUAGAUGCUAGUGCUCUGUUGGUGAGGUGAGAAAGGAAGAAGUGGGGGUACCUGUCACCAGGUUGGUGGUGGCGGUGGCGGAUUUGUCAGCACUCGUCUGCUCCCGGAUACGGUAUGGUGGGAAGUUGCUUUCCUAAGAUGAGAGAGAUAGGAAAGAGCCUGUCGAUAAACACUGCAAAUGCUUUCUUGUCUAUACAUCAAGGUGCAUUUCAAUGUCAGUGGGUAUUUCUGUACGUAUGCAUAUAUGUAUUAUGGUAAUUUUAGAAAAAACAAAGUGGGGAAAAAAAAGAACGAGAAUGAGAAUGCCACGUGGACUGUCACCUUCCAGAGACAGCUACUGUUGGGCGUCUUAGUGUUUGCAGGAUGUGUGUGUGGUGGGAGGAGGUAGGGGCGCUCGGGGAAGGCUCACGUGCUGAUGUGCCGGUCUGCACUGUCUGUGUGCUCCUCUACUUCUGGGUCUCUUUCCAGGACUCCAAGCACUGUUUCUCCCACCCCACAGUCCAUCCUGGAGCAGACACAGAGGUUCCAAUCUCAGCCCAAGUUCAAGAUGCAAAGACGUUGCAGGUGUGCUUGCAGAGCCCCAGUUUUCCCAGACAAGGACCGGAUAAGAGGGGGCUGGAGGAGGGACAGAGCUCGCAGUGGAGUUGGAGAGAAGGAGGGGCCAGAGACGGGACCUCAUGGGGAGGGCCUCCUGCUCAGGAUGGGGGAUGCUGAAGGUCAGUGCUGAGCCAGUUCUGGAGUGUGCACCUGGCCACUGCCCCGGUCUGCUGACAUCGGGCCCGCCACAGCCCUGGACUCUCCAAGCCUCCCUGUACUACACUCGGAGGAGGAGUCUGAGCCUGACAAGAAGCCCUGACCUCUGGGCUGAGUGUGACUGCCCUUUCCCCCAAGAAGUCCCCGUGGGCAGUGGUGGCGUCACGGACACUGUCACUGUGUGAACGGCUUAUUGAGUGGGCUAGACUCCGUCCGAGGAAAGGGAGAAACUUAUUUUUUUUUCCCUACCACCUUCAUUGGAAACUUGGCCUUUGAAACCGCUCUUCCCACUCCCGGAUGAAGUUGUGGACAGGUUUUAUAGCUGCUUUCCCAGCACUGUCAGGCAGUCGAAAGCCUGGCUGCUAAAACAUCACAGGUCUCUGCUUUCUCCCACCUCGACUGCUUCCUUUCCCCGGGACCUUAUCUGGACUGGAUGCUUGUGGUGGGGCAGGAAAGGCAGGGGCCAUUCUGCUCUCCCCUUCACCACUCUGUCUCUACCCAUGAGGCCGCGUCUGACUCUUCUGGGCUCGGCGUAGGCUCGGGGAGAGAGAGGGAGGAAAGGUUUUAGCGCCCUGGCACAGGUGUAAUCUGGACCCAGUGCACCCUAGAUUGGCGGAUCUGUCCUGAGGCUGCUUUGUGGGUGUUUCAGGGCCUCGCCCCACCCCUGAGGACCUCUCACCGGCUCCCCUUUGGCUUGGCCAACUGUGUACUGACCCUCUGGGUGUCACUGACCCCUUCUCUUUGGUGUCACUUUGCAAGGUGUCCUACUAAGUAGCCUCCAUCUCCCGGUGAUCUGAUGCGGCUUCCUUCCAAGGGGACUCCCUCUAUCUCUGGCUGAUGGGGAACCUGCAGCUUUGGCCUUGCUAAUUUCUCCGUAGUGAGCUGUGGACAAGGAAGCCCCUGUUCCAUCGUGCAGAGCAGUGUGAUGGGCAAAGUUUCUGUCUGGGGGAAUUUUCAGGAGAAAGACUGCUGUCAGCCCCCAAGCCCUCCCAAUCUGGAGGACACAGCUCCCCAAUGCUUCUCUUGACGCCCUCCCCCAUUUAACUUCAUGUGAUGUAGGGGAGGACCUGCAUCCUCUCACAGAGACAGGUCCUCUCCCAAGGGCCCCCCAGUGGGCUUUCCACUCAUAGGUUCUGGAGGUGGGUGUUGGGGGAGGUCAGAAUACUUCGACUUGGACCUGUCCAAGUGUGGCCUCUGUAGGUGGUUGAGGUGGAUUUGUUCUGAGAGGAGGAGCCUGGUGGGAGCAAGAGGCACGGAGUCACCACAUAGACCCUGGGAGUCGGGUGAAAGCAGGCCAGAGGCAAGCAGCCUGCAGACUCAUUUAUUUCAGUUGGUACAGCAGCUUAUAUAACCAAGGCAGCCAAUCUGGUCAAGGGGCAGUCUAUGCCCUAACCAAUCACAGCCUCUUGCCAGGCAGGCUCCUUUGCCAUGUGGUUUCCGAAGACAUCUAAUCACAGCCUGUUGCCAGGCAGUUUCUGUUGCAAGCUGCCAUCUUGGCAUGGCCUUCUCAUUCCACCACAGUGUAGCACUUUGCUUUGGAAGUAUAAGCACUCGAUACUUUGUAUUUGUUUCUUUUUUUCUUUUCUUUUCUUCUUGGGGACUUUUUGACAAAACAUGGACAAAAAUGUCUCGUCCAAACAUCAGUUACAUACAUAGAACACAGAUAUGUUCAAGUUUUGGCAGACUACACAUAUUUUUUUCUUUUUUAAAAAAGAUUUAUUUAUUUGAAAGUCAGAGUUACACAGAAAGAAGAGGAAAAGCAGAGAGACAGAGAGAGAGGUCUUCCAUCUGCAGGUUCUCUCCCCAAUUGGCUGCAGUGGCCAGAGCUGCACUGAUCCAAAGCCAGGAGCUUCUUCUGAGUCUCCCACAUGGGUGCAGGGGCCCAAGGGCUUGGGCCAUCUUUUAUUGCUUUCCCAGGCCAUAGUAGAGAGCUGGAUUAGAAGUGGAGCAGAUGGGACUUGAACUGGUGCCCAUAUGGGAUGCCGGCACUGCAGGUGGCAACUUUACCCACAAUGCCACAGCGCCGGUUCCUACACAUACUUUUUUUAAUAGAUGCUAUACUCACUGUAUUUUUAAAAAUAUUUAUUUAUUUAUUAGAAAGUCAGAUUUACACACAGAGAGAAAGAGAGGCAGAGAGAGAGAGAGAGAGAGAGAGAGAGAGAGGUCUUCCAUCUGCUGAUUCACUCCCCAUAUGGCUGCAAUGGCUGGAGCUGAACCAAUCUGAAGCCUGGAGCCAGGAGCUUCUUCCAGGUCUCCCACACAGGUGCAGGGGCUCAAGGACUUGGGCUCUCCUCUACUGCUUUCCUGGGCCAUAGCAGAGAGCUAGAUCGGAAGUGGAGCAGCCAGGUCUUGAACCGGUGCCCAUGUGGAAUGCCGGCACUGCAGGUGGAGGCUUUACCUGCUAUGCCACAGUGCCAGCCCCAGUAUACUCUCUGUAUUUUACUGCUGAUAAAUAUACACCUAUAUACUUGCCUUAAUGAAAUUAUUUUUUCAUUUUAGUUAAUUAAAAAUUCAAAGGCAGUGUAUGAUUUUGUAAAAAUUCAGAAAAUAUGGAAAGUUAAAAAUUCCCUUCAAUUCUAAUAUUGAAAUUCUUCUCUUCUACAAUCAACCACUUUUUCAUUUAGAUUGAUUUUUUUAUUUGAAAGGUGGAGAUACAGAGGCAGACAGAGAGAGGGAGAGAGGUCUUCCAUCUGCUGGUUUACUCCCAAACAGCUGCAAUGGCUGGAGCUGAGCUGAUCUGAAGCCAGGAGCCUGGUGCUUCCUCUAGGUCUCCCACAUGGGUGCAGGGGUCCAGGGACCUGGGCCAUCCUCUGCUGUCUUCUUAGGCCAUAAGUAGGGAGAUGGAUUGGAAAUGGAGCAGCCAGGACUUGAACUGGUUCCCAUGUGGGAUGCCGGCACUGCAGGGGGCUGCCUUACCCACUGUGCCACGGCACUGGCCCCUAGGAGUAACAACUUUAAUUUCCUAUGCAUCCUUCCCAGUCUUUACCACCCACUUACAAACAUAUGUAUAGACUUAAAAAUCAAUAAUUGAAUUAUAUUUGUAUCUAAAGCUCGAUGUCUUAAUGAUUUGACUUCUUGUAUUUUCUUGUUUAAAGAUUUUAUUUAAUUAUUUGAGAGGUAGGGUUACAGACAGAGGGAGAGACAGAGAGAAAGAUCUUCCAUUCACCGGUUCACUCCCCAAAUGGCUGUAACAGCCGGAGCUGGGCCAAUCCAAAGCCAGGAGCCAGGAGCUUCUUCUGGAUCUCCCCUGUGGGUGCAGGGGCCCAAGGACUUGGGCCAUCUUCUACUGCUUUCCCAGGCCACAGCAGAGAGCUGGAUCGGAAGAGGAGCAGCUGGGUCUCGAACUGGUGCCUAUGUGGGAUGCCUGCACUACAGGCAGUGGCUUUACCUGCUAUGCCACAGUGCCGGCCCCAUGGAUAUUAAUUUUGAGACUGAUAGAAACAUAGAUAUAAAUGGGUUUGUUGGAAACAUAAAGAUGCUUACUCACAGAAUGAGCACAGCAUGUGGACUGUGGCAUCCAUGUUCCCAGCCAACUCAGAUUCUAUUCCUGCUUUUUUCCUAGUAACAGAAUUCUGAUUUUAUUGGGUGACUACUGUCUGGUAGGUAGACCACAGUUCCAGCUGCUCCUGAAGCUGGUAGUGGGCGCGUGAGGAAUUGUGAGUGGGACUCCUGUGGAAAAUGCCCACAAAGGCUUCCUGAAAAGAGCUGACUCAGCUGACCCAUGUCUUUUGUGCCCUGCUCCCUUCUUUCUUCCUGCUGCUGGGAGAUUGGGCAUGAUGGCUGGAGCCCUAGCAGCUGCCUUAUGGCCUUGAGAAUAGAAAGUAUCUCCUAAGGAGCUUGGAGUAGAAAGAGAAAUGGUGGCUGGGCUCUGGAGGACAGCAGAACCUCUACCAGGCAUUCUGGACUGCCUUCCUCUGGUCUUCUGUGAGGGAGGGAAUCGUAUGCCUUCAUCCUCUGUUUCACUCCCCAAGUGACCGCAAUGGCGAGGCUGGGCCAGGUUGAAACCAGGAGCCUGGAACUCUAUCUGGGUCUUCCACAUGGGCAUCAGGAGCCCAAGCACUUGUGCCACCUUGUGCUGCUUUACCAGGUGCAUUGCCAGGGAUCAGGAUGGGAAGAGGAGCGACCAGGACUCAAACUGAUGCCUGUAUGGGAUGCUGGCAUUGCAGGCGGUCGCUUAACCGGCUGCGCCACAAAGCCAGAACUUGUGUCUUGUAAGUUGCUUAUUUUGUAGUUUCUAUCCCAAGCAGCUGAACUGAAUCCUAGCUCUUUGUAGGCCUUCCAAAAUGGCAGAGUUAAAAAGAGGGGCCAUAACAAAAAGUUGGUCAGUUUGGUGAGGGCUAGGGGGAAAAUAAAAGCAUGGGGCUUCACAAAAGGAGAAAUUGCAAAAGCCAUGGACAUUCUAACAGAGUUAGAAAUUAAAAAUCACAGACACAUAAUAAUAUUUAAAAUGCAUAAACCACUGUGGGGAAAAGAACGGUCUUCUUAAUAGUUCUCGGGUAGAAAAGGACCCAGAUGCUUGGACUGUUUGGGAAGUGCACGGUGGGUGACCGCUACACUUCUUUACUUGGGUUGCAGCCAGCAUUGUUCUUAGAGGAACCCCUGGUGAUGAGCGCUUUGUGAGAAAAGAAUAUGGAGCCAUACUUAAUAUAUUCAAAUUUAGAAGCUGGAAAGGCUGAAGAAAAGAAUAGGUGGGAAUUAGUUGCUAUAAAAACAGGAAUUGUUGAAGCAGAUUUAUUUAUUUAUUUAUUUUUAAAGGUUUGUUUUAUUUAUCUGAAAGACAGAGUCACACAGAGAGGUUGAGCCAGAGAGAGAGAGAGAGGUGGAGCCAGAGAGAGAGAGAGGUCUUCCAUCUGCCAGUUCACUCCCUAGUUGGCCGCAACGGCUGAGGCAAUCCGAAGCCAGGAGCCAGGAGCCUCUUCUGUCUCUCCCAUGUGGGUGCAGGGGCCCAAGGACUUGAGCCAUUCUCCGCUGCUUCUCCAGGCACAUUAGCAGGGAGCUAGAUCGGAAAGUGGAACAGUGAGACUCGAACCAUGCCCAUAUGGGAUGCCCGUGCUGCAGGCUGGAGCUUUAACCCACUAUGCCACAGUGCUGGCCCCUGAAACAGAUUUAAAAAAGAAGCAGGGGCCUGUGCUGUGGUGUAGUGGGUAAAGCUGCCGUCUGCAGUGCUGACAUCACAUGUGGACCCCAGUUCGAGUCCCAGCUGCUCCUCUUCUGAUCCAGCUCUCUGCUGUGGCCUGGGAAAGCAGUGGAAGAUGGCCCAAGUCCUUGGGCCCCUACACCCACGUGGGAGACCUGGAAAAAGCUCGUAGCUUCUGGCUUCGGAUCGGCGCAGCUCUGGCCAUUGCGGCCAUCUGGGAAGUGAACCGGCAGAUGGAAGCCCUCUCUCUUUCUCUCUCUCUCUGCCUCUCUGCCCCUCCUUCUCUCUCUGUGUAACUCUCCCUUUCAAAUAAAUAAAUCUUAAAAAAAGGAUAUAAAACUAUCAAGAUUAUACAUUAUAGACUUCUGGCCUAUAGCUUCAAGUACACUUUUACCUCUUCCCAGUUGGAUUUAAAAUGGCUCCCUAUGUGGUGAUAUUUCCUAUUUACCAGAGACAGGAUUUUGGACCUUCUGGUUCUGUAAGCCACCUAUGCUGCCAAAUCCUGCCGCAGCCACAGCAGAUGCCAGCAUCAGCUUCACAGAGAAAUAAAUUACCUGUAUUGGCAGGAUGUGCCUGCCAGUACAUCCACAGUUGUCCGUGGAGCGGCGCCCUCCUUCCCCGAUGUGUUUCCGUUACUCUGCAAGACUCGUGUGAGACUCCGCGCUCUCUCUGAGCUCUGACUUCCAUCUGCUUCUGCCUUUUCGGAAGUCUUGCUUUGUGGAUGAUUGACACUCUCUCCUGCACUUUAAUUUACCUCGGAACUUUAAAAACAGCAAUUAAACAUAGGUAUGAAGGCCCUCAGGGUCUGGCUUCUUUCUGCCUCUGUUUCCACUGCCUAUCUCCUGCUCCGUGUUUUUCAUUUCUUCUUCUUCUUUUUUUUUUUUUAAAGGUUUAUUUUAUUCAUUUGACAUUUGAAAGGCAGAGAGGGGCUGGGAAAGACAGAGAUCUUCCAUCUGCUGGUGCACUCCCCAGAUGGUCACAACGGCCAGAGCUGAAGCCAGGAGCCAGGAGCUUCUUCUGGGUCUCCCAUGUAGAUGCAGGGGACCCAGCAUCUUCUGCUGCUUUCCCAGGUGCCUUAGCAGGGAGCUGGAUCGGAAGUGGAGCAGCCGGAACUCAAACGGGCGCCCCUGUGGGAUGCUGGCCUUGCAGGUGGCAGCUUUACCUGCACUGGCCCCUGAUUUUCCUUUUAGCUCCUUGAGUGCACCUUGUUUUCACCUACCCCUGGGAUUUUGCACAUGCUGACUCUUGUUUCUGGAAUAUUGCCUGCCUCUUGUCCUGCAUCCUCUAUCUUUGAGUAAUGCUUUUGUAUCUUUCGUUUUAUCCCACAUUCUCUGGGAAAUCUCUUACGCUAACAGUUUUGGGGACAGCUGUAGUUCUGAUAGGCUUCACCUGCAGGCUAUCGUAGAGCCGGUCAGUCUAGAAUAGACUAAGAGAUUUAUUUCGAACCUCCUUGUUUUCCUUCAACAAGACGAAAACUGUUCUCCUCAGUGUUGAAUUCCUGGCAUCUAGAACGGCCUGGCAUUCAAGAAGCAUGGUUGUUGUUGCCAGUGGAGUGAUUUAACUCAUUGACUGACUCAUUUUUUAAAAAAAUAUUUAUUUACUUGAAAGGCACCACUCUGCGGAAGCACAGCUUUUCUCUGACCUGAGGGCUGUUCUGAAUUAAGUUUUGCUAUUUUGAAUUCCAAGUUUUUUUCUGAGCCAGAGUGAAAAGUGAACUUAUAGCUGUUAAUUCAUUGAGUCCAUUAACAACGGAAUUUUGUAAACAGUUAAACAUGCUCAUUUUAUAUCGGUGUUAUCAAAUAUUUUAUUUUUAAAAUAGAUUUAUUUUAAUUACUUGAAAGGCAGAGUAACAGAGAGAGAGGGAGAGACAGAGAGAGGCAGUGACGGAGAGAGAAAGAGAUCUUCCAUCUAUCUGCUGGUUCACUCGCCAAAUGGCCACAUUAUCCAUGGCUGGGCUAAGCUGAAGCCAGAAGCAAGGAACUCCAUCCGGGUCUCCCAUGUGGGUGGCAGGAACCCAAGUAUUUGAGCCAUCUUCCAUUGCCUUCCCAGGUGCAUUAGCAGGGAGCUGGAAUGGAAGCGGGGCAGCCAGGACUCGAACCAGUGCUCCUUAUAGGAUGCCUGUGUCGUAGGCAGGAGCUUAACCUGCUGUACCACAACACCGGUCCCCACUGAUUGAAUCUUUGGGAAGCUUAAUUUGACUGUAGGGAAAAUACACUUUGUGUGGUGUAAGAGUGCUAAAUAUUGCCAUUUUGGGGGCUCAAAUUUAAAUCCUGGCAUUUUCC